RNAcentral lists this ribosomal RNA (321 nucleotides) under Triticum aestivum (bread wheat). RNAcentral's name for it is "partial small subunit ribosomal RNA". The record is from RNAcentral. Lineage: Eukaryota; Viridiplantae; Streptophyta; Magnoliopsida; Poales; Poaceae.
AUGGACCGCCGGUUCCACCCCUGGCGGUGGACGAUGCUUCGGGAGGAACACGCCACCCCCAGCCGCCGCUCCUUCCUCAACACCUCCACCGGCGAGUGCAUCCAGGUCGACAUCCCCGAGCUCCUGGACCACGACGUGCUGGCGGUCACGGCCGAGGGCCUCCUCGUUCUGCUCCAAAGGCCUGAGUGCACUCACGUCCGCCUGCUCAAUCCGCUCACCGGCCAUCUCAUUGCAGAUCUCCCGCCGAUCACCACGCUGCUGCCUCCCGGAGUAGGUCUUUUCCAUUAUUUUUUCGACAUCUAUAGACAGUGCACGGCCUAG